CAGUUCAUGGCCGACCAGGAGGCGGCGCAGGCCGGCCGCGGCCGCGAGGCCGGGCUGCAGGCCGCCCGCGACGCGUUCUACCGCGGCGACCUGG
Molecule: transfer RNA, 94 nt
Filed under: Thalassobaculum fulvum
Lineage: Bacteria; Pseudomonadati; Pseudomonadota; Alphaproteobacteria; Rhodospirillales; Thalassobaculaceae
Description: tRNA-Gly
Source: RNAcentral